RNAcentral lists this ribosomal RNA (484 nucleotides) under uncultured bacterium. RNAcentral describes it as "partial 16S ribosomal RNA". It matches the Rfam family "Bacterial small subunit ribosomal RNA", at positions 30 to 507 of the family's 1533-position model. The record is from RNAcentral.
AUUGAACGCUGGCGGCAGGCCUAACACAUGCAAGUCGAGCGGAUGAAGGGAGCUUGCUCCUGGAUUCAGCGGCGGACGGGUGAGUAAUGCCUAGGAAUCUGCCUGGUAGUGGGGGAUAACGUCCGGAAACGGGCGCUAAUACCGCAUACGUCCUGAGGGAGAAAGUGGGGGAUCUUCGGACCUCACGCUAUCAGAUGAGCCUAGGUCGGAUUAGCUAGUUGGUGGGGUAAAGGCCUACCAAGGCGACGAUCCGUAACUGGUCUGAGAGGAUGAUAAGUCACACUGGAACUGAGACACGGUCCAGACUCCUACGGGAGGGAGCAGUGGGGAAUAUUGGACAAUGGGCGAAAGCCUGAUCCAGCCAUGCCGCGUGUGUGAAGAAGGUCUUCGGAUUGUAAAGCACUUUAAGUUGGGAGGAAGGGCAGUAAGUUAAUACCUUGCUGUUUUGACGGUACCAACAGAAUAAGCACCGGCUAACUUCGUG